UGUGGUGCUGUCCUAAGGCAACUUUCUUCUGGCUCCAAACAUUUUUUUCUGACCAUUUUAUUGAAAAUGGCUUCUGCCAGAAAACUCAGAACCUCAUCAUGUGACCAGCAGUAGCAGUGCUCUCCUGUGCCUGGCAAGCAGCUACUAAAAAUGUUCUCCAGGGUUCCCCUUCUGUGACAGAGUCAACAUGUUAGUUGAUUGCUCUUACCCCAGCAAAUCAUGGCCAGCUUGGAUCAUGAACUUAAUACUCUGUGACUGUCUUCCUGAAGUCAUUCCAGCUUUAAUGACACAAUCACAGUUCAACACCUCCUGUGAAAUUGAGGCCUUGUGAACUGCUGUACUGUAUAGAAACCCACAACUUAAAGUGAAUACAGACUCUACUAUCAAUUAAGAGAAUGUACAAACAGAACUGUAAACGGAUGCAGUUGAUGGUCCAUAAUAUAAUUUUGGCUCUGAAUUCUCAAUCACCCAAGUAAUAUAACUCUGUAGUACAACUGGAAUGGAUGGCUUGUAUUAUAGUUGGCCCAAGUUUAGUUUUUUGAGUAUGUGCCAGCCAAAGGAGGAUGGCCUGCCCCUGCUGAGCCUGGUUCCUCCUAAGGUUUCUUCCUUCAAUUUUUACAUUAUCAACAUCAGCUUACCAUUUAAGGGAGUUUUUCCUUGCCACUGUCGCUUUUGGCUUGCUCACAUG
This is a long non-coding RNA of Paramisgurnus dabryanus, 688 nucleotides long. RefSeq lists it as uncharacterized. The record is from RefSeq and is a predicted model, not a curated record. NCBI's taxonomy places the organism in Eukaryota, Metazoa, Chordata, Actinopteri, Cypriniformes, Cobitidae.